RNAcentral lists this unclassified non-coding RNA (621 nucleotides) under Hevea brasiliensis (rubber tree). The record is from RNAcentral. Lineage: Eukaryota; Viridiplantae; Streptophyta; Magnoliopsida; Malpighiales; Euphorbiaceae.
AUGGAAGGGGAAAACAACAAAAGGCAACAGAUAGGAAGAGUAGAGAAGAAGACAGGGAGAGGGCGGCAGAAAAGAAAAGGAAGACAGAGGACUGAGAACGACUCGGGAGAUUUAAGGAAAAAGAAAUAAGGUCCUAUUUGAAGAAUAGAAAAGAAUGAAGCGACCAAAAGAGAGAGAAGGAAAGAAGUUACAGGGAUCACAGAAAUCAUAGUUGGAGCACCCUCUUCUUCCCUACUUUCUUUUCCUUGUUUCUUGAUAGAAUUGUCCUUUUUCUUUUUUGUGCUAUUUUCAUUGAAAAAUUGCAGCACCAAUCUAGUCCUUGUCAUUAUUAUUUUUUUGUUGCUUUAAAUUUAAUUGGGUGCAUAGCAAUAUAACAAUCAUAAUGUAAAGCCCAACCUUACAUCAAUCUCCAGAUCAAUAACACCAAAUAAAUAUAAAAACCAAAAGGUGGUAGUCAAAAUAUAACAAAGUAUGCCUUUGUUGCACCUUACACCUAUAAAAAUGUGCAUGCCUCAGUUGGGUCACCUGCCUAAAUACCGUAAAUAAACUAGACAUAGCGCCUGUUGAACCUUGAGCUUGAAGCACACUCCCCAACUAUGGUAGAAAAUCAAAAUUUAAUGA